This 775-nucleotide ribosomal RNA is filed under the name uncultured Neocallimastigales. Its description in RNAcentral is "partial large subunit ribosomal RNA". It matches the Rfam family "Eukaryotic large subunit ribosomal RNA", at positions 24 to 646 of the family's 3401-position model. The record is from RNAcentral. Lineage: Eukaryota; Fungi; Neocallimastigomycota; Neocallimastigomycetes; Neocallimastigales.
UAUCUCUGUAGAGUCUGCAUAUCAAUAAGCGGAGGAAAAGAAACUAACUAGGAUUCCCUUAGUAACGGCGAGUGAAGCGGGAAGAGCUCAAAUUUGAAAUCUUCAAGGUUUUACCUUGACGAACUGUAGUUCUAAAGAAGUGUUUUCUGUUGGUGUUUUGGUAAAAGUUCUUUGGAAUAGGACAUCAUAGAGGGUGAGAAUCCCGUAUUUGACCAUUACUUCCAGCGUUGUGAUACACUUUCAAAGAGUCGGAUUGUUUGGGAAUGCAGUCCAAAAUGGGUGGUAAAUUUCAUCUAAAGCUAAAUAUUGGCGAGAGACCGAUAGCGAACAAGUACCGUGAGGGAAAGAUGAAAAGAACUUUGAAAAGAGAGUUAAACAGUACGUGAAAUUGUCAAAAGGGAAGCGUUUGACACCAGUGUUGUUUUCUCGAAAAUCAAUUAAAAAAAGUUGGAUUUUGUAUUGUUAAGACCUUAUCAGCUUACUGUACUCUUUUCUUGCUUUUUUUAAUGCACUUUUCGUUUAACAAGUCAACAUCAAUUUCUUUUGUUGUAAAAGAGUCAUUGGAAGGUGGCUUUCACUUCGGUGAAAGUGUUUAUAGCCUUUGGCUUCUGCAAUCGGAGAGAUUGAGGUCUGCAGCGUAGAUCCUUCGGGGCUAGAUACGUAGAUGCUAAGUUAUAGUUUUUUAUAGACAACUUGUUGACUAUAAUUAAUCAUGUAGCUUACUCGUUUGCGCUAUUUUACCUACGCUUAGGAUGUUGACGAGACUGUCGAUCUC